GCCUGGCUGGCUCAGUCGGUGGAGCAUGUGACUCUCAAUCUCGGGGUUGUGAGUUCGACUCCCACAGUGGGUG
This 73-nucleotide transfer RNA is filed under the name Ailuropoda melanoleuca (giant panda). It matches the Rfam family "tRNA". From Rfam's summary of the family: Transfer RNA (tRNA) molecules are approximately 80 nucleotides in length. Their secondary structure includes four short double-helical elements and three loops (D, anti-codon, and T loops). Lineage: Eukaryota; Metazoa; Chordata; Mammalia; Carnivora; Ursidae. The record is from Rfam by way of RNAcentral.